UACGUAGGGGGCUAGCGUUGUCCGGAAUCAUUGGGCGUAAAGCGCGUGUAGGCGGUCCGGUAAGUCCGCUGUGAAAGUCGAGGGCUCAACCCUCGAAUGCCGGUGGAUACUGCCGGGCUUGAGUACGGGAGAGGCGAGUGGAAUUCCUGGUGUAGCGGUGAAAUGCGCAGAUAUCAGGAGGAACACCGAUUGCGAAGGCAGCUCGCUGGAACGUUACUGACGCUGAGACGCGAAAGCGUGGGGAGCAAACAGG
Molecule: ribosomal RNA, 253 nt
Filed under: uncultured bacterium
Lineage: Bacteria
Description: partial 16S ribosomal RNA
Rfam family: Bacterial small subunit ribosomal RNA
Source: RNAcentral